Molecule: long non-coding RNA, 1902 nt
Organism: Mustela lutreola (European mink)
Lineage: Eukaryota; Metazoa; Chordata; Mammalia; Carnivora; Mustelidae
Exons: 2
Source: RefSeq, a predicted model, not a curated record
UCCGUUCUAAACCAGUUUUCUUUAUUCAUGCUCAGGAGCAGGACUUAGUUCUUAAAACUACCUUGGUUACGGCUGUUGGCAAAUAAGUAGAUAGUUUGCAGGUGGCCCCGGGGAGAAAGAAGUUACAGAUGAGAAGCGGGCGUGAGACGCACCCUGUGAUGCCGGGACUGCCAUGUGCCUGGAGCCUCACAAGACGGACAGUCCUGGGAAUAAACAGUAGAUUCGCAAGAAGUUUUAUGCUUUUAGCUUCUACAAUUGGGCCCAUGAUCAAGUUAAGUUUUGGGGAUGGUGUGAGAUAAAAAUCAGAGUUCUCCCCUUCCACGGAUGGGCAGCUCUUUGAUGCAAAGACUAAGCCUCAGUUCCCUUGGCGCCUUUGCUGCAGGUGGCGCAGCUGCACGUGGUUAUGCUCCUGCUCCGUUCGGCUCAUCUGGGUCCGUCUCUGGCUUCAGAGCGAGUCUCUAAAUUAGGGACACUUAGCUCUCCAGUGGCUCUUUCACAAGUUGCUUUGACUCAACUUCCAUAUGCACUCUAAGACGAGCUCACCGCUGUGUGAAGGAGACCCUGCCGGAACUCGUGUGUGGGACUGAACGCACCCAUCAGGGGAAAAGAGACCCUGACCUGACGCAGCUCUUUGAUUCUUUGAAUUGUUUUCAGCGAUACUUCACGGUUUCCGGCGUCUGUGUUUUUGUGCAGUCUGUAACUCCGGCACUCCACACAUUCUGGAUACUGUUGUGAAUGGGGUUGCACCUUUGAAUUUCAUUCUCCAGUUGUUGCUUGAAUGUGCAAAUAGAGCGGACCUUGGUUUAGCCACCUCUGCUGACUUGGCUGGGUUGGCGUACCUGCUCUAGCGGUAGCUUUGUUCUACCCACACGCUCCUGUCCCGUGUGACCACUACUUCACAUCUCCUUCCCACCUGUAUGCGUUUCCUUUCUCCUUCCGGGCUCAGCACAGCGGCGACCGCCUGUCCUGGCUGCGGGGGGAGAGCUUUCAGUCUGUUACAUUCAGCAUGUCAGCUUCAGUCCGUAGAUUGCAAAUGUCCUUUCCCGGCUUAGGGAAGCUCCUUUCCAUUCCUAGUUUGCUGGGAGUUAAGUCAACAGUGUUUGAUGUCAUCGAUGCUGCUGUUUUUGAGAUGAUUAUGUUUUUAUUUCUUUUUUAGAUUUUUAAAUGUUAAGUUAACCUUGCACUUCUGCACCAAAUUGUACUUGGUUUUGGUGUAUUGCGGAUUUUGUAUAUUGCUGGAUUCAAAUGGCUAGUAUUUGGUGAAGAGCUACUGGUCAUUUUCUUUUCUUGUAAUAUUUCUGUCUGGGAAUAAUGCUGGACUCAUAAAAUUGUUGUGAGGUAUCCUGUCCUGUGUGUCUGAAAGACUCUAAGAUAGGUGUUGCUUCUUCCUUAAAAGUUUAGGAGAAUUCACCAGGUACACCCUCCAGUUCUGAUUUUUUUUUUUCCCUCUGAAAGAUUUAAAAUGUCAGAUUGAACUGCUUUGUUUCUUUCCGUGUCCAUCUGGACAGCUUGUGAAUCUCAGGGAAUGUGGCCAUACCACUUUUUACCAGUGUGAACGACUCACAGCCUUCUCCGUAGGUACAGCGACCAUGUCCUUUCAGUCCUGGUAUCCACAAUUUUCGUUCCCUCUCCUGCAGCUAGUCUGACUAGAGGCUCCUCAGUUUUGUGGGUCUUCUGUAUCUGCUCGUUUUCUAGUUCUUUAAUUUCUACUUUUAUUAUUUCCUUCCAUUUAUUUUGGUCUUAAGUUGUUCCUCUCUAGUUUUUAAAGGUGGAUGCUUACAUCAACAUUAAUUAAACCUUUCAUUUUUAAUGUAAACGUUUGAAGCUAUAAAUUUUCCUGUAAUUCUUUAGUUGUUUUUUAAAAUAAACCUUUACAUGGUGUGUUUUCCUAGUCACUCAAAA